UACGGAGGGUGCUAGCGUUGUUCGGAAUCACUGGGCGUAAAGGGCGUGUAGGCGGUCUGUUAAGUCUGAUGUGAAAUCCCCUCGCUCAACGAGGGAACUGCGUCGGAUACUGGCAGACUUGAGUACCGGAGAGGAAGGUGGAAUUCCUGGUGUAGCGGUGAAAUGCGCAGAUAUCUGGAGGAACACCGGUGGCGAAGGCGGCAUCCUGGACCAACACUGACGCUGAGGAGCGAAAGCCAGGGGAGCAAACGGG
Molecule: ribosomal RNA, 253 nt
Filed under: uncultured bacterium
Lineage: Bacteria
Description: partial 16S ribosomal RNA
Rfam family: Bacterial small subunit ribosomal RNA
Source: RNAcentral